UGGCUCAGUGGUAGAGCGCUUGCCUAGCAUGCAUGAGGCCCUGGGUUCGAUUCCUUA
RNAcentral lists this transfer RNA (57 nucleotides) under Dipodomys ordii (Ord's kangaroo rat). It matches the Rfam family "tRNA", at positions 8 to 63 of the family's 71-position model. From Rfam's summary of the family: Transfer RNA (tRNA) molecules are approximately 80 nucleotides in length. Their secondary structure includes four short double-helical elements and three loops (D, anti-codon, and T loops). Further hydrogen bonds mediate the characteristic L-shaped molecular structure. tRNAs have two regions of fundamental functional importance: the anti-codon, which is responsible for specific mRNA codon recognition, and the 3' end, to which the tRNAs corresponding amino acid is attached (by aminoacyl-tRNA synthetases). tRNAs cope with the degeneracy of the genetic code in two manners: having more than one tRNA (with a specific anti-codon) for a particular amino acid; and 'wobble' base-pairing, i.e. permitting non-standard base-pairing at the 3rd anti-codon position. Lineage: Eukaryota; Metazoa; Chordata; Mammalia; Rodentia; Heteromyidae. The record is from Rfam by way of RNAcentral.